Molecule: long non-coding RNA, 905 nt
Filed under: Capsella rubella
Lineage: Eukaryota; Viridiplantae; Streptophyta; Magnoliopsida; Brassicales; Brassicaceae
Description: long non-coding RNA (CRUB_LNC001907)
Source: RNAcentral
GAAAAAAAAAAAAAAAAAAAAAAAAAAAAAAAAAAAAAAAAAACAAAGAGAAAAAAAUUACAAUGGACGUUUCUUCACAAAUAAAAAUUUGUAGGCGAAUUUGAGAAAAUUCUAAAUAUGGCGGGAAAAUUAAGAAAAUUAUUUAGGUUUUCCUUUCUUUUUUUUGGUUUGCAGAGUCAGUGUCUGUGUCACUAAGUGGUUCCAACAGAUGGAAGACAAGGACUAGCUCAUGUAAUCUAAUCUGUCUUUGCGUGUUUAAUACGCCGUUGUUCCAUCGUCUAAAGCAAACCAUUCUAUUCUGGUUCUCCAAACGGAAGAAGAUGGAUAGGUGAGAGAGAGAAGAAACCCUAGCUAGCUAGAUCUCUCAUCAACGGGGGAGAGAGAAGACUCAUCUUCAAACCCUAACAUAGAUCCCCGACUCACCGGAACUCAGAUCAUAUCCACUUCUAGUUCUAGAGACGGAAAGGGACCGAAUCUUCAGAUGGAUAUAUAUAGUCUCCAAGCUGAAGAAAUCCAUCCGAACAUAUGAGCGGACAAGACAACCUUUUACUAUACAUAGGUAAGUCUCCUUAAGUAUGUUUCAUGAACUUGUUCAGUUGAAGUCUUGCUUCUUUUCAAUUUCGUUGCUGCUCCAUAAUAUAUAUGCAAUAUAUGGUGUGAUAGCUAGCGAGGUUAUAUAACUUAUACUAUAUAGGGAAUCUGAUUUAUGUAAAGUUGAAUAUGAACUUAUCAUAAAUUAAACCUCAAGACUAUAAUUAAACAAUGUUCUCAUCCAAUCCACUUUCUAUACAAGAUACUGACUUGCUGAUUUGAUUCAUAUUCCACGUACAAUCUACUUAAUAUCACUGCUUUUUUUUUGUCUGAUGGUGUAGUUUUCAAGCUAACCGAAAUAUUCUUCUUCCAAG